CCUACGGGAGGCAGCAGUGAGGAAUAUUGGUCAAUGGACGCAAGUCUGACCCAGCCAUGCCGCGUGCAGGAAGACGGCUCUAUGAGUUGUAAACUGCUUUUGUACGAGGGUAAACGCAGAUACGCGUAUCUGUCUGAAAGUAUCGUACGAAUAAGGAUCGGCUAACUCCAGGCCAGCAGCCGCGGUAAUACGGAGGAUUCAAGCGUUAUCCGGAUUUAUUGGGUUUAAAGGGUGCGUAGGCGGUCGGAUAAGUUAGGGGUGAAAUCCCGAGGCUCAACUUCGGAAUUGCCUCUGAUACUGGUCGGCUAGAGAGUAUGUGCGGUAGGCGGAAUGUAUGGUGUAGCAGUGAAAUGCUUAGAGAUCAGACAGAACACCGAUUGCGAAGGCAGCUUACCAAGCUACUUCUGACGUUGAGGCACGAAAGCGUGGGGAGCAAACAGGAUUAGAUACCCGUGUAGUC
RNAcentral lists this ribosomal RNA (460 nucleotides) under uncultured bacterium. RNAcentral's name for it is "partial 16S ribosomal RNA". It matches the Rfam family "Bacterial small subunit ribosomal RNA", at positions 338 to 795 of the family's 1533-position model. The record is from RNAcentral.